RNAcentral lists this non-coding RNA (30 nucleotides) under Rattus norvegicus (Norway rat). Lineage: Eukaryota; Metazoa; Chordata; Mammalia; Rodentia; Muridae. The record is from RNAcentral.
UCAGCUCUAGGACAUAGCAAAUGGAGCAUG